Molecule: ribosomal RNA, 505 nt
Filed under: Shigella sonnei
Lineage: Bacteria; Pseudomonadati; Pseudomonadota; Gammaproteobacteria; Enterobacterales; Enterobacteriaceae
Description: partial 23S ribosomal RNA
Rfam family: Bacterial large subunit ribosomal RNA
Source: RNAcentral
CGACCUUGAAAUACCACCCUUUAAUGUUUGAUGUUCUAACGUGGACCCGUGAUCCGGGUUGCGGACAGUGUCUGGUGGGUAGUUUGACUGGGGCGGUCUCCUCCUAAAGAGUAACGGAGGAGCACGAAGGUUGGCUAAUCCUGGUCGGACAUCAGGAGGUUAGUGCAAUGGCAUAAGCCAGCUUGACUGCGAGCGUGACGGCGCGAGCAGGUGCGAAAGCAGGUCAUAGUGAUCCGGUGGUUCUGAAUGGAAGGGCCAUCGCUCAACGGAUAAAAGGUACUCCGGGGAUAACAGGCUGAUACCGCCCAAGAGUUCAUAUCGACGGCGGUGUUUGGCACCUCGAUGUCGGCUCAUCACAUCCUGGGGCUGAAGUAGGUCCCAAGGGUAUGGCUGUUCGCCAUUUAAAGUGGUACGCGAGCUGGGUUUAGAACGUCGUGAGACAGUUCGGUCCCUAUCUGCCGUGGGCGCUGGAGAACUGAGGGGGGCUGCUCCUAGUACGAGAGGA